RNAcentral lists this ribosomal RNA (433 nucleotides) under uncultured bacterium. RNAcentral's name for it is "partial 16S ribosomal RNA". It matches the Rfam family "Bacterial small subunit ribosomal RNA", at positions 29 to 507 of the family's 1533-position model. The record is from RNAcentral.
AACGAACGCUGGCGGCAUGCCUAACACAUGCAAGUCGAACGAGACCUUCGGGUCUAGUGGCGCACGGGUGCGUAACGCGUGGGAACCUGCCCUUAGGUUCGGAAUAACUCCCCGAAAGGGGUGCUAAUACCGGAUAAUGUCUUCGGACCAAAGAUUUAUCGCCUUUGGAUGGGCCCGCGUUGGAUUAGCUAGUUGGUAGGGUAAAAGCCUACCAAGGCGACGAUCCAUAGCUGGUCUGAGAGGAUGAUCAGCCACACUGGGACUGAGACACGGCCCAGAAUCCUACGGGAGGGAGCAGUGGGGAAUAUUGGACAAUGGACGAAAGCCUGAUCCGGCAAUGCCGCGUGAGUGAUGAAGGCCUUAGGGUUGUAAAGCUCUUUUACCCGGGAUGAUAAUGACAGUACCGGGAGAAUAAGCUCCGGCUAACUCCGUG